GCAGCCGUGCCGUUUUCCUUACCAACAUUAUU
Molecule: non-coding RNA, 32 nt
Filed under: Syntrophotalea carbinolica DSM 2380
Lineage: Bacteria; Pseudomonadati; Thermodesulfobacteriota; Desulfuromonadia; Desulfuromonadales; Syntrophotaleaceae
Source: RNAcentral